GUAAAGAAAGGCUCUGUUCUCUUAACACGGAUGGAAAGUAUAACGGCAUACAAAAACCAACAUGGACAACCCAGAUUUGGAACUGCGGAACAAUCUGACACUCCAGUGUCUGCUAAUGACAUGUGUUCCCUUGCUGAAUGGCCAUCCCAUGCUCGCCGCAACCGUGGGCUACUACAGGAUGAAGCUGGUGGAUAGAAGAAGAAAGGGCGAGGUGUUCUAAAGGGUUUUAAAGCAUCUAAGAAGCGUUUUGCCAAUGGAUCUGCAAAGCUAAAUAUUACAUUCUCUGAAAAAUUGGGUGGUACAGUAGGAAUGAACUAUCAUUCGUUCAAGGAUGACGUGGUAGUCAUAAUGAAAAGAAAGUUACCACUCAUUGGAGUGAGGACAUGGUCGAACAUUCACCCUACCAUUUAUCGACUCAUUGUUGCAGAUAUGAUAGACAAAUGGGAUCUGGAAGAUACACCAGAAACAGAAGAAAAAGUUCUCAAAAUGGCGAAAGAGAGAUAUAGAGGCUGGCGAUCAACUCUAAGCUCCACUUACAAGGCAUACAAAACAGAUGCGGCUUGAUUGGCUAAUCUGCCGGAAGAUUUACAACCAGAAGAGUGGGAAUGGAUGAUUGAGUACUUUGGCACUGAUUCAAAAUUUUAGGACCGUAGCCAAAAGAACGCCGAUAACCGUAAGAAACAGAAGACAAAACACAUAAUCGGAUCAAAAUCUUACUCGCAAGUUAGUUUUGAGAAGGUAUGA
Molecule: ribosomal RNA, 744 nt
Filed under: Triticum aestivum (bread wheat)
Lineage: Eukaryota; Viridiplantae; Streptophyta; Magnoliopsida; Poales; Poaceae
Description: partial small subunit ribosomal RNA
Source: RNAcentral